GAGCAAGAAAAGAACGUGGUGGAACAAUCAGAUUAAAAAAAAAAAAAAAAAAAGAAAAGGUUCUUCACCGUAGAUCAAAGCAAAGGCAAGGGUUUACCCCAUUAUCUUCCUAGUCUUGUAACAGAGUAAGAAGCACAACAAAAUUUUCUUUUAGAUAUUUGUGUUCAAUUACUUUCCUAAAGGACUUUGAAGCUGAUAGAAAAAAAGCUUGAUGUUGUGCAUUAGCAAUACCUCAUGGUGUGCACUACUGCUGUAAAAGCAUUUUGAGAAAAUACAUCUAUUUUCUCAUUUAAUUCUCACAGAAAUCUCAUAAAAUUGCUAGAGGAUAACCAGGAUGGCAGAAUCACAAGUUUUUCAGCAAAAAUCAUUUCUCUUCCUGGAGUCCUUAGGCCUUAAUCUCAGAGACAGAGUUCUACAAGAAACCAUUAAGGACACUGGGACAUAAUCUCCCAAAGCAGCGAGACACCUGACUGGCUCUUUACCCACAAAGUGGUAAAAGAAACUCUUCUUAUAGAUGUACAGAGGAGAUUAGCCAUAUGAUCCAACUGUAUGAGUUCUAUAAGAAAUUCAGUUUAGAUUCAAAGACAUGAGCAAGUUGAAAAGAUAUUCUGCAAAACAGUUAACCAAAAGAGCUUACAUGGCUAUACUAAUGUCAGACAAGUAAACUUUAACACAAAAACUGUUACAAUGGCAAAAACCACUGUAUUAAAAAAAAGUCAAUCUGUCAUUAAGAUAUAAAAUAAUAAAUAUAAUGAUUACCUCAAUACAUGAAACAAAUUGAAAGGGAAAAUACACAGUUACUAACAGUAGACUUCCACACCCUACUUUCAGUGAUGAUAGAUAAAACAACUAGACAGAAGUGUCGGAAGCCACCCAUGAAAUGUCCGUGAGCUCAAUCGGCUUGGAAGCCAUUGGGUAGGAAAGUUUGGUAUCUGGGAAACUCCAGCAGCACUCCUGCUGGUUUGAGAUCGCCCAGUACAUGUGAUCCUACCUAGCUCUGCCAGGUUCAGCACUGUACUGGAGUUGGGGUGACCUGCUGGAACUACACAGCCACACAACCUCUCAGAGAUGGGUGUGGCUUGCCAAGAUGCCAAUCAAGCUGUUUGCUGUAAGUGCCCUGCCACACUGAGAAGCAAGAUGACUCCUCCCGCUGAAACCUUAUCCUGCCUUUAAUGAACUCCCCCUUAAAUAAAGGACUGGAGCCAUUUUCUAGUUGUUCAGUUCUAGCUCCUGUGUGGACUGGAUCUAUCAGGUGCUCCGCUUCCUUUAAAUCUAAUUUCUGGAUAUGUCUCUUAUUUCUUUACGAGACUUUCAUUUUCUCAGGUGGCUCACAACCUUCUGAUCAGGAAACUACCCUGGCAGGGUGCUGGCUGCCCUGCCAUACAGAAGAUCAACAAAGAGAAGAUUUUAAGUACACUAUACACCCACUAGACUUACCAGGCCAUAAAGAAACCUACCCAACAACAGCAGAAUUGCACAGACUUCUCAAGACAACAUAUUUGGCUACAAAACAAAUCUUGAAGAUUUUUAAAAGAUUAAAAUUAUACAGUGUAUCUUCUCUGAGCACAAUAAAAUGAAACAAAAUCCAUGAAAGAAGGAAAUCUAUUAAAUUCACAAUUACAUGGAAAUUAUAGAAUAUACUCUUUAACAACAAAUGGAAGAAAACACAGGGAGUGUGUCAAAUAGUAGAGAAAAUCAACCAAAAGUUGGUUCUUUGAAAAGAUCAACAAAACUUACAAACCUUUAAAUUAGACUGACCAAUAAGAAAAGAAAGAAAACCCAAAUUAUGAAAAAGAAAGGAAUGAAAGUGAGGAAAUUACUACUGACCUUACAGAAAUAAAAAGGAUUAUUAAAGGAUACCAACUAACUGCCAAUAAACCAGAUAACAAAGACAAAAUGGGAAAAUUCCUGGAAACAUAAAAGUUACCAAAACUUACUCAAGAAAAAUGUAGAAAAUCUCAGUAGACUUGUAACAAGAAAAAAAGAUUGUAUUUAUAAAAAUAAUUUUUAAAAAGCCCAGGGCCAGAUAGAUAGCUUCUCUAAUGAAUACCACCACUUAAAGAAUUAACAUGCAUCCUGAAAGUCUUCCAAAAAAAAAAAGGAGAGAACACUUUCUAACUCAUUCUAUGUAGCAAACAUUCCCCUGAGACCAACACCAGGUUAAAACAUUAAAAGAAAAGAAAACUUUAGGCUAAUAUUCUUUAUGAACACCAGAUGUUAAAAUACCAACAAAAAAAUCUAGUAGCAUAUAAAAGGGAUUAUAUAUCAUGACCAAGUGAGAUUUAUCCCAGGAAUACAGCAUGACUCAAUGUACAAAAAUCAACAUAAUACACUACAUUUAUAGAAUGCAAAAAAAUCAUUUGACAAUACCCAACACCCAUUCACAAUACCAAUACCCUUUCAAAAUAAAAAAAGCUAGCAAACUAGAAAUAGAUUUCCUCAACAUGAUAAAUAGUAUCUAUUUAAAAACCCACAUCAUAGUCAAUGAUGAAGCUAAUCAUUUUGUAAUAAUUGGUUACAAGACAAAGAUGUUUGCUCUUGCUACUUAUAUUGAACACUGUGCUGGAAAUUCAAGCCACAACAAUUAGAUAAGUCAAAGAAAUAAAAGAUAUCCAAACUGGACACUCAUAAAUAUCUGGUGGGACUGCAAAUUGGUGCAACCACUCUGGAAAGCAGUAUGGAGAUUCCUCAGAAAACUUUGAAUGGAGCCAUCAUUUGACCUAGCUAUCCUACUCCUCAAUUUAUACCCAAAAGACUGUAAAAUCAGCAUACUAUAGUGAUGUGGCCAUAUCAAUGGUUGUAGCAGCUCAAUUCACAAUAGCUAAGCUAUAGAAUCAACCUAGUGCCCUUCAACAGAUGAAUGGAUAAAGAAAAUGUAGUAUAUCUACUCAAUGUAAUAUUACUCAGACAUAAAGAAGAAUGAAAUUAUGGCAUUUACCAGUAAAUGGAUGGAACUGGAGACUUUUAUGCUAAGUAAAAUAAGCCAAUCCCCCAAAACCAAAGGCUGACUAUUCUCUCUGAUAUGUGGCUCCUAACGCACAAUAAGAGUGGGAGGGGGGAAAAUAGAAGUUCAUUGGAUUAGACAGGGGAAUGAAGAGAAGGGAAGAGGAUGAGAAUAGAAACACAGUAGAAUGAAUCAGACAUAAUCUUGAUGUGUUAAUAUAUGAAUACAUGACCAGUGUAACUCAACAUCAUGCUCAACCACAAGAAUGGGGAGUUAUAGUCCAUGUAUGUAUAAUAUGUAUAAAAUACAUUCUGCUAUCCUGUAUAACUAAAAAGAGCAAAUAAAAAUAAAUAAUAAAACUUUUUUAAAAAGAUAUCCAAAGUUGAAAGGAAGAAAUAAAGCUACAAUAACCAAGACAGUGCGGUACUAGCCUUAAGACAGACAUGCAGACUAAUGAGGUAAGAGAGGUCCAAAAAUAAACUUUCACAUAUAUGAUCAAAUGACUUUUUUAAAAAAAAGAUGCCAUAUGUAAAUCAAUGUAUGUGUAACUGAUGUGAUUCUGCAAUUUGUAUACGGGGUAAAAAUGGGAGUUCAUAACCCACUUGAAUCAAAGUGUGAAAAAUGAU
RNAcentral lists this long non-coding RNA (3570 nucleotides) under Marmota monax (woodchuck). The record is from RNAcentral. Lineage: Eukaryota; Metazoa; Chordata; Mammalia; Rodentia; Sciuridae.